Molecule: ribosomal RNA, 439 nt
Filed under: uncultured bacterium
Lineage: Bacteria
Description: partial 16S ribosomal RNA
Rfam family: Bacterial small subunit ribosomal RNA
Source: RNAcentral
CUACGGGGGGCAGCAGUGGGGAAUAUUGCACAAUGGGGGAAACCCUGAUGCAGCAACGCCGCGUGAAGGAAGAAGGUUUUCGGAUUGUAAACUUCUAUCAGCAGGGAAGAUAAUGACGGUACCUGACUAAGAAGCCCCGGCUAACUACGUGCCAGCAGCCGCGGUAAUACGUAGGGGGCAAGCGUUAUCCGGAUUUACUGGGUGUAAAGGGUGCGUAGGCGGCAAAGUAAGUCAGAUGUGAAAGCCCGUUGCUCAACAACGGGACUGCAGUUGAAACUACUUAGCUAGAGUACAGGAGAGGUAAGUGGAAUUCCUAGUGUAGCGGUGAAAUGCGUAGAUAUUAGGAAGAACACCAGUGGCGAAGGCGGCUUACUGGACUGUAACUGACGCUGAGGCACGAAAGCGUGGGGAGCGAACAGGAUUAGAUACCCGGGUAGUC